This 253-nucleotide ribosomal RNA is filed under the name uncultured bacterium. Its description in RNAcentral is "partial 16S ribosomal RNA". It matches the Rfam family "Bacterial small subunit ribosomal RNA", at positions 524 to 776 of the family's 1533-position model. The record is from RNAcentral.
UACAGAGGGGGCAAGCGUUGUUCGGAAUUACUGGGCGUAAAGGGCGCGUAGGCGGCCUGUUAAGUCGAACGUGAAAUCCCCAGGCUUAACCUGGGAACUGCAUUCGAGACUGCAUUGCUAGAGUAUGGGAGAGGGAAGUGGAAUUUCCGGUGUAGCGGUGAAAUGCGUAGAUAUCGGAAGGAACAUCAGUGGCGAAAGCGACUUCCUGGACCAAUACUGACGCUCAUGUGCGAAAGCGUGGGGAGCAAACAGG